Molecule: ribosomal RNA, 443 nt
Filed under: uncultured bacterium
Lineage: Bacteria
Description: partial 16S ribosomal RNA
Rfam family: Bacterial small subunit ribosomal RNA
Source: RNAcentral
CCUACGGGGGGCAGCAGUGGGGAAUAUUGGGCAAUGGAGGCAACUCUGACCCAGCAACGCCGCGUGAAUGAUGAAGGUCUUCGGAUUGUAAAGUUCUUUUCUAAGGGAAGAAGAAAGUGACGGUACCCUAGGAAUAAGCCUCCGCUAACUACGUGCCAGCCGCCGCGGUAAUACGUAGGAGGCAAGCGUUAUCCGGAAUGACUGGGCGUAAAGGGUGCGUAGGUGGUUUGACAAGUUAGUAGCGCAACUCCGGGGCUCAACUUCGGAACUACUACUAAAACUGUGGGACUUGAGUGCAGGAGGGGCGAGCGGAAUUCCUGGUGUAGCGGUGGAAUGCGUAGAUAUUAGGAGGAACACCAGUGGCGAAGGCGGAUUGCUGGACUGUAACUGACACUGAGGCACGAAAGCGUGGGGAGCGAACAGGAUUAGAUACCCGUGUAGUC